UACACCAUCUUCGUUACCUUGCACUCAUUCAAAACAACUUCAUCUCAGCUACAAUUCCUUCAGAAUUUGGGAAUCUCAGCAGGUUAGAGGCCUUAUCUCUUAGGAAUAAUAGCUUUGUAGGCCAAGUUCCUUCCUCAUUUAACAGCCUAAGCCUUCUUUCCGUUUUAGAACUUUCCCUAAACGAGCUCACUGGUAGUUUCCCACUUGUGAGGAAUCUAACAAAGCUCUCGGCUUUAAGCCUUGCUGCGAAUCAUUUCUAUGGAACUCUGAAUCCUAAGAGUACUAGCCUGUUUGAGUUGCGCCACCUCCGUUACCUUGAUCUAAGUCAAAACAACUUCACCUCAUCACUCCCUUCUGAAUUUGGAAAUCUCAACAGACUAGAGAUCUUGGCUCUUUCCUCCAAUGACUUUUUCGGGCAAGUUCCUCCCACAAUUAGUAACCUAACCUCGUUAGAGGAAUUGAACCUUCACCACAACCAACUCACUGGUAGUUUCUCACUUGUUCAAAACCUAACCAUGCUUUCAGUUAUAGCAAUCAAUCAUAAUCACUUCUCUGGAGCCAUUCCAUCUUCUCUCUUCACCAUGCCUUUCUUAUCAUAUCUCGAGCUGAGAGACAACGAUCUCACUGAUUCUGUUGAAGUUUACAACUCCUCAUCUACCCUGUCUAGGCUCGAGUACUUGUCCCUUGGGAAUAACCAUUUUGAAGGAAAAAUCAUAGAGCCUAUCUCAAAACUCAUCAGCGUCAAGAUUCUUGACCUUUCUUUCCUUAACACAAGUUACCCGAUUGAUGUAAGCCUCUUCUCCACGCUGAAAGAUUUGGUGGACCUUGAUCUUUCCGGUAAUAGUAUAUCUCCGGCCAGUUUAGGUUCAAAUUUAGACAUCCCAACAAACCUGGAGAUUUUGUUGUUACGAGGUUGCGGCAUCAAAGAGUUCCCAAAUAUCUUUAAGAUCCUUGAGAAGUUGGAGAAUAUAGACUUGUCCGACAACAUAAUCAAAGGCGAGGUCCCGGAGUGGUUAUGGAAGCUUCCUCGUCUAAACACAGUGUUUCUUUCAAAUAAUUCGUUUAAUGGUUUGGAAGGUCCAGUGGAUGUUUUGGUAAAUUCAUCUGUGAAGAAUUUAUUUAUGGAGCGAAACUAUUUUGAAGGAGCAGUUCCUAUUCUACCACUCUCCAUCAACAACUUUGCUGCGACAAUCAAUAGAUUCACAGGGAGAAUACCUCUUUCAAUAUGCAAUUGUAGGUCGCUUACGCAUUUAUGGCUUCCUUACAACAACCUCACGGGUCCAAUCCCUCAAUGCUUGAGUAACUUGACGGUUUUGAAUCUCCGGAAGAACAACUUGGAAGGAAGUAUCCUUGAGGCAUUUUAUGUCGGUGCUUCUCUACAAACACUUGAUGUUGGACACAAUCGACUAACCGGGAAACUUCCAAGAUCUCUUCAGAAUUGUUCAUCUCUCGAGUUUCUAGCUGUUGACCACAACAUAAUCAAAGACAAGUUUCCUUUUUGGCUCAAGGCUUUACCAAAUUUGCAAGUCCUUAUCCUCAGUUCAAACAAAUUCUAUGGAUCUAUAUCUCCUCCUGGUCAAGGUCCUCUCGGGUUUCCAGAGCUGCGUAUAUUUGAGAUAGCUGAUAAUAAGUUUACUGGAAGCUUGCAACCGAGAUAAUUUGUCAAUUGGAAAGCAUCGUCCCUUAUGAUGAAUGAAGAUGGUGGUCUAUAUAUCGCACGGGAACUCAUUUUAUAAAAAAUAUAUUAUAAUCUAUAAUAUAUAAUUUUAUAUGCCUGAUAAAAAAAUUAAACCAUAUAAAUAAUUAAAUUUAAUUUUGAUGAUUAAAAUAUGAUUUACAAAGUAUUCAAAUAUAUAUAUAUAAAAAAUAUAUAUAUAUAUUUUAUAAACCUUAAUAUUCCCUUUAAUUUUUUAUCAAAACACAUAUUGCAUACAAUUGUGUCUUCAUUCUUUUUAAAUUUUUUCAUACAUUUUUCACAUGAUAGUUAUCUUCAACCACUUUUUGAACAAAAUGCAAUUUUUUUUUUUGCAUGAUAUAUAAUUUUUUUCCUAUUUAAGACAUAAUAUUAAAAUUAUUAGUUUAUAAUUUUAAACAAUUAUAAUUUGUAUGUUGGUAAUUGUUAUUUUGUAUAUUUAUCUACCUGCUUUAUUUAUUGAAAAUGAAUAUUCAGAAAAUUGAAUAUUGUAAUAAAUAUAUGUUGAUUUACGUUAAUAUGACAUGUCUCAUUUAAAAUAUUUUUUUUUUAAUUUUUGGGAGAGUUCUCAUAAAAUACCAACACUUAUUAUAUAAACUAACACAUUACUUAAAUAAAACCUAUAUUUUUUAAAGCAAUCCCACUUUGAGGUGAAAAGACACUUUGUUUAGAUGAAAAAUUGCAACUUUGACAUUAUUUUUUUCACCAUUUUAUUAUUAGUAGAUUAGUGAAAAUUUGAUUUGAAAAAUGUAUGGGAGAGACUAUUUAUAGAUUUUUUAAAGUCUAUUUGAAUAGUCACAACCCUUCAAUAUGAAUAGUUGCAUUCUUUUAACACUCACAACUUCUCAUUUUUUAAAAGAUACUAGUGAAUAGUCACAACUUUUAGACUAUUUUUAGAAGGACACAACCUUACAACAUAUAACUUUUAGAAAAGACACAACUCUCUACACAUAUUUUUCAAAAGACACAACCUUUCAACAUAAUUGAAGUUCACAACCUUAGGAAUUAAUUGGAAAAGACACAACCUUACUACAUAGAACUUUUAGAAAAGACACAACCCUUUACACUACUUUUUCAAAAGACACAACCUUUCAACAUAAGUGUAUUCACAACCUUAGAAAUUAAUUGUAAAAGACACAACCUUCCAACAUAGAACUUUUAGAAAAGACACAACCCUUUACACUUCUUUUUCAAAAGAUACAAUCUUUCAACAUAAGUGGACUCACAACCUUUAGAAUUAAUUGGGAUUGCUAUUAUUAGCAGAUAAGAAACUCUUGUGAGAAAGUGUACUGCUAAUGAUGCUCUUAGUGGGCGACACAUGUAGGGUCUUCUGAUGUCUUUCCCAAGUUAUACGUUUGAAAAAUCAAGUAACUUUAGCGCCAUUAAGUUCUCCAAUCAAAAAUAGCGUAGCUCUCUAUCUUUUUCCAAGUCACGUUGUGUGUGGUGACAUAUCUUUAUUUAUACCACCAACCCUCUCUCUCAUUUUUCUUAAACCAAAACAAUUCUUCUUCAAUACUUUUUCAUAAAGACCAUGUCUGAAUCCCAUUUGCAUUUGCAUUUUCUCUCGCUACUUUUGCUCUGUUAUGUCUCCCCUUCAAGCUUCUCCAGUUUAAACAUCGACUAUAGUAGCUAUGUUGCUUGUCGUCCCUAUCAAACUCAAGUUCUCACUGAGUUCAUGAACGAGUUUGAUAGCAGCCACUGCAACCUCAGUGAUCCCUAUAACAGAGUCUGGUGCGAUAACUCUACCGGUGCGGUCACAAUGCUACGACUAAGAGCCUGCCUCAGUGGAAACCUUAAGCCCAACAGUAGCUUAUUCAGGUUACAUCAUCUUCGUUACCUUGACCUCUAUCAAAACAACUUCAUCUCAGCUACACUUCCUUCUGAAUUUGACAAUCUCAACAGGUUAGAGGUCUUAUAUCUUUCCAAUAAUAGCUUUGUAGGCCAAGUUCCUUCCUCAUUUAAUAACCUAAGCCUUCUUUCCUAUUUAGACCUUUCCCAAAAUGAUCUCACCGGUAGUUUCCCACUCUUACGGAAUCUAUCAAAGCUCUCGUUUUUAGACCUUAACAAUAAUCAUUUCUCUGGAACUCUGAAUCCAAACAUUACUAGCCUGUUUGAGUUGUACAACCUCCGUUACCUUGAUCUAAG
RNAcentral lists this long non-coding RNA (3838 nucleotides) under Brassica rapa (field mustard). RNAcentral's name for it is "long non-coding RNA (BRAP_LNC003044)". The record is from RNAcentral. Lineage: Eukaryota; Viridiplantae; Streptophyta; Magnoliopsida; Brassicales; Brassicaceae.